UGAAGAGUAUGAACCUGUUCUGAGCACUUUGCCACACACCCGACAUUCAUCACCCUGUUUGACCCUGCGAACAAUGCUUCUUUGAAUCUGCCACCAUUAUCUUACAGGAGAGAAGGGUGCUGAGGGGCGGGAUCUGCACUUGAGAAGCGCAAGUUCAGUGAGUCACCCUGCGUGAGAAGCGCUUGUCAAUGUCCAUCCAUCAUCGCGAAACACAACGGACGUUUUCUAUUUUAGGGCUGAAGCACACUUAAGGGCCUUGUGAGGUUUGUCGUUCUCCUUGAUCACCACACGCUUCAUGAUCCUUGCAAACACUAAUCUGUCUCAACAGAGAAGAAUCCCAUGGUUGCCUGUGAAAUGGUCCCAGGCUGUGACAAUUCCCCCGGAGAAGAUUGAGGACUGUCCCAUCAUUGGGAAAGCGCGUUCUCUUCACUGACCAUCGUCUGAGUACAUCUUCCAUUCCCCUUUACAUCUCUGACCCAACUUACCACUGUUUCUCAGUAGGAGCUAUCUGCCCACGCCACCAAGAAUGUGUGCAUGUGCUAGGUGUACUAGGUCGCACUGUAUGUUACCCGUUCUACGCUGUACAUGUGCAUCUCUGUAUGCCCCACCUCAAAUGUGCACAUCAUAUGCUACCAGGGCUUCACCAAAACCUACCAGUAACAUCCCCCAACUUUUUUCUUUCUCUGUCAUCUCUGAAAUACUAUUAGCUCUACUCAGCUCCAUUCCUUUCUUUUAGAGAUAUUUCAAAAGUGUGCUUAACUGCCAUGCAGCUGUGGCACUUUAUCCUGUAUUAGUUUAAAAGCAUUUUAAAAGAAUGAUUGCCCCAUAGAGCCAAUGUUUCUUUUGAAGUAUUAAAUAUAUGAGAUUACAUGUAACAUAUAUGACAUACAUGUUUAUUAAUCAUAUCUAUAUAUUAGUGGCAUCCAUGCUAAAGCCAUGUAGUGAAAGGAAUGUGAACUAAGUAACUACUGGAAGUCCUUAAUUUUUUCAAAAUAGACAUAAUCACACUUGAGUCUACACUUACUGACAACUCUUGAGCCUACCUGGUAACUUGAAGCCGGAGCUGACUGCCCAAGCCUCCACUGGCAGGGAUUCAAUUAUAAGUAGAAUCAUUGAUAUGUAUUUAGGAAAGAGGAGGUAUAGACUAAAACAGUGGUAGCCAGUCUUUGAAAAGUCAUAACUUGGUCAGCCUUGGCCUUAGUUUUUCUUUUUGUUUUGUUGUUGUUUUGUUUGUUUUUGAAUAUUGCUUUGACUCCAUCCUUCAGCCUACACACAAUACAGGUAGAAUCUCUUAAAAUUAAAAUGAACUAAAGCUGUCUCGAAAGAAUUUAAUGUAUUUUCAUUAAUAAUUCAAUUCUUUUCUCUAAA
Molecule: long non-coding RNA, 1368 nt
Organism: Peromyscus eremicus (cactus mouse)
Lineage: Eukaryota; Metazoa; Chordata; Mammalia; Rodentia; Cricetidae
Exons: 2
Source: RefSeq, a predicted model, not a curated record